This 504-nucleotide ribosomal RNA is filed under the name uncultured bacterium. RNAcentral's name for it is "bacterial SSU rRNA". It matches the Rfam family "Bacterial small subunit ribosomal RNA", at positions 355 to 873 of the family's 1533-position model. The record is from RNAcentral.
UGGGGAAUCUUGGACAAUGGGGGCAACCCUGAUCCAGCCAUGCCGCGUGAGUGAUGAAGGCCUUAGGGUCGUAAAGCUCUUUCGCCUGUGAAGAUAAUGACGGUAGCAGGUAAAGAAACCCCGGCUAACUCCGUGCCAGCAGCCGCGGUAAUACGGAGGGGGUUAGCGUUGUUCGGAAUUACUGGGCGUAAAGCGCACGUAGGCGGACCAGAAAGUUGGGGGUGAAAUCCCGGGGGCUCAACCCCGGAACUGCCUCCAAAACUAUUGGUCUAGAGUUCGAGAGAGGCGAGUGGAAUACCGAGUGUAGAGGUGAAAUUCGUAGAUAUUCGGUGGAACACCAGUGGCGAAGGCAGACUCGCUGGUCCGGUACUGACGCUGAGGUGCGAAAGCGUGGGGAAGCAAACGAGGAUUAGAUACCCUGGUAGUCCACGCCGUAAACGAUGUGUGCUAGCCGUUGGGGCACUUGUGUCGCAGUGGCGCCGCUAACGCAUUAAGCACACCGCC